Small nucleolar RNA from Quercus robur (English oak), 108 nucleotides. RefSeq annotates it as small nucleolar RNA snoR113. Lineage: Eukaryota; Viridiplantae; Streptophyta; Magnoliopsida; Fagales; Fagaceae. The transcript has a single exon. The record is from RefSeq and is a predicted model, not a curated record.
GGGCAAUGAUGAAACAAAGGCCGGACUUACUGCUGCUACCAGUUUUUUAGUUGGUUUGGUAGUAGACUGAUGAAAACUACAAUAAGUAAGGUGUUUGCUCUGAGCCAC